RNAcentral lists this ribosomal RNA (498 nucleotides) under uncultured bacterium. Its description in RNAcentral is "partial 16S ribosomal RNA". It matches the Rfam family "Bacterial small subunit ribosomal RNA", at positions 30 to 523 of the family's 1533-position model. The record is from RNAcentral.
AUUGAACGCUGGCGGCAUGCUUUACACAUGCAAGUCGAACGGGCUUAGGUGCUUGCACCUAAGUUAGUGGCGAGCGGGUGAGUAAUGCAUCGGAACGUCCCGUGUAGUGGGGGAUAACCCGGCGAAAGUCGGAUUAAUCCCGCAUACGAUCUAAGGAUGAAAGCAGGGGAUCGACAGCCCUUGCGCUAUACGAGCGGCCGAUGUCGGAUUAGCUAGUUGGUAGGGUAAAGGCCUACCAAGGCAACGAUCCGUAGCGGGUCUGAGAGGAUGAUCCGCCACACUGGGACCGAGACACGGCCCAGACUCCUACGGGAGGCAGCAGUGGGGAAUUUUGGACAAUGGGCGAAAGCCUGAUCCAGCCAUGCCGCGUGAGUGAAGAAGGCCUUCGGGUUGUAAAGCUCUUUUGUCCGGGAGCAAAUCCUGUUCACUAAUACUGAGCGGGGCUGAGAGUACCGGAAGAAUAAGCACCGGCUAACUACGUGCCAGCCGCCGCGGUAA